GGUUGCAUUAUAUGUGGAGGCUC
Molecule: non-coding RNA, 23 nt
Filed under: Cricetulus griseus (Chinese hamster)
Lineage: Eukaryota; Metazoa; Chordata; Mammalia; Rodentia; Cricetidae
Source: RNAcentral